Non-coding RNA from Salvelinus sp. IW2-2015, 178 nucleotides. The record is from RefSeq and is a predicted model, not a curated record. Lineage: Eukaryota; Metazoa; Chordata; Actinopteri; Salmoniformes; Salmonidae.
UGUAGUAGGAGCUACACGGAGGUAUACGCCCUGAACCCCACAGAGGUUUAAACAGUGGUGUAGUAGGAGCUACACGGAGGUAUACAUCCUAAACCCCACAGAGGUUUAAACAGUGGUGUAGUAGGAGCUACACGGAGUAUACAUCCUAAACCCCACAGAGGUUUAAACAAAGGUUCAA